AGCACAGACGUAGAAGAGGCUCGUAGGGCUGAGCGCGGAAUGAGCGCGAAUGGUAAGUCGGUUCUUCGCAUACCGGGCGUUCAGGUAUAGCUUGGAAGGUGGUGUGCGAGCUAAACGAAGAGGGAAACAAGAAAUCUGUGAGGCGAGAGAAAGAGGAGGAAGUACCGGCGGAGGAGAACAGACCCGAGAUGUAGAAAGAGUAAGAAAGGAGGAACGGAGGGAAGAGAGAGAAAGAGGGAAAGGCCCGAGCAAGCGGGUAUGCGAGCUAACAGGCAGGCAAACAGGCAAGCAGGCAGAAAGGCAGGAAGGCAGGCAGGAAGGCAGGUAGGAAGGCAGGCAGGAAGGCAGGAAGGCAGGAAGGCAGGAAGGCAGGAAGACAAGAAGGCAGGAAGAUAGGCAGGCAGGCAGGCAGGCAGGCAGGCUGACAGGCAGGCAGCCAGGAGGCAGGCAGGCAAGCAAGCAAGUAAGCAAGCAAGUAAGCAAGCAAGCAAGCAAGCAAGCAAGCAAGCAAGCAAGAAAGCAAGAAAGCAAGCAAGCGAGCGAGCAGAGUUUGGUAUAGUCUAGCUGCUCGGUGCCGCGAAGCGAGCUGAAU
This 592-nucleotide unclassified non-coding RNA is filed under the name Bombus terrestris (buff-tailed bumblebee). RNAcentral's name for it is "misc RNA ENSBTSG00005021096.1". Lineage: Eukaryota; Metazoa; Arthropoda; Insecta; Hymenoptera; Apidae. The record is from RNAcentral.